UGGUACAUCCAUAUUCUAAAAUUCCUAGAUCCGACUUGGUACAUAUAACUUAUUUACCAAAAAAGUUACUACCUAUUUACCAACAACAUUAGAAUAAACUGUCGCAGUAGAACGUAAAAAACAUAUCUAAAUUAAUUCUGUCAUAAUAUAAUUAACACCAAAUUAGAUAUAUCGUACAAUAUAUUUACAGAAGAAACAAAAAUGACAACUACAAUGACACAAAGAAUGAUGCUUCUCCAGUUUCUAGAGUUGUCUGGAUUCUCCAUCAAACAAUUAAUUCAUUAUUGGGGAAGAUUCUGGAAGGAACAGCAAAACGAGCGGAAAAUGAUCUAGAAAGUUCCUGAGCGUCAGCCAAAACGAAUGAGCCCUGAUCGAAAUUCUGUGAAUAAGAAUGGGAAUCAUAAGUAAACCGCAUUGAUUUGGACUUGGAGCGUUCAAAAAUUUUCUUCUUCUCUUUUUUCAUCUUUCUCCAUAGCAAUCUCCAGAUUGCCGGUGCUUUGUUCGAUCUGUUAACGGCCGGCAAUUUAUACGAUACGAAACGUUUGUACUCUCUACCGGAGUAGCUCCGCCGACAGCAGAUGCUAAUUCCAUUGUCUAAAUCAUCCAUUAGAGUACUCAGUGGAGAAACAGUGUGUUAGUUUGUGAUCUGAAAGUUGAAUUGAGACUCUGAGUUUUUGUGGUUGUUGAGAUUUUAGAGUGUGGAAAUGCAUGGGGGAACAUAGGAGCGGACAAAACUUAUAUAGGCGAAAAAGAUUGACUCAUUUGUCAUGCAGAGUGAUGCAAUUAAACUUAAGACGGUUGACUCGGAAACUAAUGGAUUGGCCUAGGGUAGAAAAAGAAUGGCUAUGAUUUUAGCCAACUCAGAUCACCAACAUUGCCAUACCGCUACUUGUGCAAGGAUUUGAGCUGACAAUAAUCAAGCUAGGUUGGUGGAGGCGGAAGUGCGUGGUCUUUGAAGAUAAGUUUUUUCUUUUCCUUCUUCCAACCUUUUGCAAAGAAGAUCGGGGCAAGUGCACUGAUAAUAGGUUACAUACAAUAAAAGAAGGCUAUGGAGUACUUUUGAGAUCAAUUAUGGAGGAAAAGAGGCCAAUCGCACAACAUCCGCCAAGUGCACCAUGCGAAACGCACAAAACCAGAACUGGAGAUGGACUGCCGCGGUCCCGGCAUAACCGCGGUCGGACCGCGGCAGGAAGGUGUUGCGGAUUCUGAGAGGUCAUUUGGUCGCGGUCCUGGCGUAACCGCGGUGGGACCGCGGCAGGACGCGUAAAUUUCAGGGACUAAAGUGCAAAAC
This is a long non-coding RNA of Nicotiana attenuata, 1291 nucleotides long. RefSeq lists it as uncharacterized. The transcript is spliced from 3 exons. The record is from RefSeq and is a predicted model, not a curated record. Lineage: Eukaryota; Viridiplantae; Streptophyta; Magnoliopsida; Solanales; Solanaceae.